UCUGUAGAAAGAAUGUGGUAUCAUUGCUGGGCUAUUAAACUUAGUGACCCUGCAGUUCAACCACAGGCUGGUUUCACUUGGUGAAAUCACUGGGUGAAAUUCUGUGCUUUGUAGGCAAGCUGUCAGAGUCAACCCAAACACCACUGGUGUAUUAAGUCCCACUGGAUUUGCCUCUCUGUCCCAUCGCUCCCUUCCUAGCAUGGCUUCUCUGAUUCCAUGCCACAGAACAACACCUGCUCUCCCCACCUCUCAUAUCCCUGGGUCUUCAAACACUGAGGAGAAUACCAGUACGUCUCUUCAGAGAAACAGCCUAAAGGUAAAAGAGAUAUCUGAAGUUAAGAUCUACAAGACUUUUCAAUCAGAGGAGGUUUUCAGGAAUGGUGGACACUCACAGGCAGUAGAAAGAUAGGUGUCUAAGUCCAGGAAAUGUCCUUUUGGGUGGACCCUCCAGGACCAACAUUGCUA
Molecule: long non-coding RNA, 465 nt
Filed under: Crocodylus porosus (Australian saltwater crocodile)
Lineage: Eukaryota; Metazoa; Chordata; Crocodylia; Crocodylidae
Description: lncRNA (ENSCPRG00005006042.1)
Source: RNAcentral